Small nuclear RNA from Gorilla gorilla gorilla (western lowland gorilla), 108 nucleotides. The record is from Ensembl. Lineage: Eukaryota; Metazoa; Chordata; Mammalia; Primates; Hominidae.
GUGCUCGCUUCGGCAGCACAUAUACUAAAAUUGGAAUGAUACAGAGAAAGAUUAGCAUGGCCUCUGUGCAAAGAUAAUAUAUAAAUUUGUGAGGCGUUCCAUCUUUUG